AUGGGAACAGAGGAUUGGCUGGGCUGGCUGGGGAUCGAAGCAGGCAAGAAGGCUUGCAGGAACGUCUCGCCUCUUUUCGUCUCCCACGAUUCGUAGCACCUUUCGCCAUUAACGGUCACUGCCUCGUCCGCAGCCGCGACCCACCGUCUCCCGGCCAAAGCUCUGCAAAACGUCCUCAUAAUCGCACCAUUUGUCACCAUCUAUUAUCCUUCCGGUGCUGAAGAAACGACAACAUUUCACUAAUCCUUCUCCACCUUGCCAUUGAAAAAUGUGUAUGUAUGUCCAUCGGAUUCCAAUACAUUGGUUUGGUCGCGUCUUCCUGUCCGACGCUGGCCUCUCUGAAGCAUGGAAGGUGCUCGACGUAUUGUUUGCAAAGACUGUUGCUGCAAAUUUGGUGCUCUAUUGCUUGAUAAGACUUUUGGAAUAGAGAUGUGUAACAUUUUUUGUCAAGGAGCCGCCAUGGUCAAGCACCUCGCAUCAAUCUUCGGCACACAUGGAGAACGAACAAAAAAUUGGCAUUAUCUUCUUUCUUUUUGCAUGUUUCUCUUUGCUUCAGUACCAUGCCAAAUCCAUCAUAUAUUAUUUGCAUCUCUAUGAUAAUCACUCUGCCAUCUACAUUCGUCAUCCUAGGCAGACCAUGCAACUGCAAUCCAGAAUUAAUCUCUUUAAGGCAGGUUAUAUAUGUUUGCUUCCAUAAUCUCCGGAGUACUUCUAAAAUCUUAUAGUGUAUACGAUGCCCAUUCUACAACUAUACUCAUUACAAUGUAUAACUUUAGGCAGAAAAUGCAGCCAAAGAAAUCCUUUGGAUUGGAUGCUCAGAAACUCCCUUGAUAAGAAAUUGAGUAACAUCCAUUUAAAUGGUGAUGUAAUAUCCCUUUAUAUAACAACAAGAAUCAGAUUGUAUUCCUUUUAUAUCAAAGUAGAGAUAAAACUUUCGUGCAAGUUUCUUCAAACUCUGAUACAUGGAGCGACAACAAAGGAAGAAAUGUAGUACCGAAUAAACCGUACAAUUAUUUUAACUUGCAUAUUGCUACCUUCAUGUACUGUGUUUUUUCUCAAGCAUGCCAAUGAGGCCCAACAGAAUUGUGCUCUCACCUUUCCUUCAUUCAUCAGCAGAGAGAAGCUAACAAAAAAAAUAGCGAGGUGAUUCAAAAAGUCAGUACUAUAUAUGAAACGACCAAUGCAUCUAACCUUACAUGAUGGUAGCCAAGACCUAUCUUCGCGUGCAGACACAGAGACACUACAAGCAUGCUUGGUUCUGACAAUCAUCAUCGGUUCUUCACAAUUCAGUACAAAAGAAAUGGAAAAUGACAUGCCACAACAAUCCUUUAUGAUGAAAAAACAAGCUACAAAUAUGGUGAAUAACUGUUCGAGCACUUGUCAAAUACUAAAAUCAGGUUGAGCAGCAUCUUCUAGUAUGGGAGACAAGAGCUAAUGUCAUAGUAACUGAUGUUGUCCACGGGGCGGUGCUACUCCACUCGAAGAGGAAGAGGAAAACCAAGAGAGGCGUGAAGCGGAUGUGGUAGG
This is a long non-coding RNA of Brachypodium distachyon (stiff brome), 1527 nucleotides long. RefSeq lists it as uncharacterized. Lineage: Eukaryota; Viridiplantae; Streptophyta; Magnoliopsida; Poales; Poaceae. The transcript is spliced from 4 exons. The record is from RefSeq and is a predicted model, not a curated record.